Molecule: long non-coding RNA, 2585 nt
Filed under: Triticum aestivum (bread wheat)
Lineage: Eukaryota; Viridiplantae; Streptophyta; Magnoliopsida; Poales; Poaceae
Description: long non-coding RNA (TAES_LNC017974)
Source: RNAcentral
UUGUGCUAGAUUAUAUUAAUGCACGCACCAUAUUACAGCACACAAUAGCUCUCUCAUCAGAAUCCAGUGAUAGCACACAAGGGUUUACAGGGGCGCCCCUAUAUUAUAAUAUCCUCUGCAUUACAAAGAUCUCACUACUAUUUAUGUUUUCAUGGUUCUCAGAUAUUAUACAUUACAGUGAAUAUCAGAAUCCGCGCAUCAGAAGAAUAUUGUGGAACACUGCAACGACUUACAAAAUUGGCACCAAGGCAUUGAGUGCCAUUCUGGAUGCAAUGCAACUCAUACGCUCCCCACCUGUAGAUUCUUGUUCACAAUAUGAUCCUAAUGAUUAUUCUGACCUCGAGGAGUCAAAGGCAGAUGGUCUGUCCUGUUCACCCAUCAAGGUGCCUGUUCUAAUUUGGCAAGGUUUUAUUGAUUGCGCGUAUCUUGCAUAUGUUGUCUUGCAUUUCUUCUACUAUGUUGCACCGCCAUCUGCUUAGUUUACUCAUCAUAUAUGUCAAGAUGCCAUGCCCAUCCAUUAUCAAUACAUAUUCCAUCUGUCAUCAUACCAUGUUUUUCUACUCAAAUGCUAUUCUUGUGCAUUAGACAUCAAAAAGGAAGAGGGUGAUUGCCGAACCUGAAGGAGCACCAGCAAAGUCCUUGAAAAACGUGGUGGUGCCGGAGAAAUCAGACAGCACCCCACUUAUAUUGGCUGUACAACCAGUGACACAAAACGUAGGACCGACUCCAGCAGACCGUACCCAUACUUCACUAGCCACACCACUAGCCCCACCACAAAGGACCUGCACUCCAGCAAAAGGUAUGCCAAUUUCAGUUGCCAUAGUAUAGCCGUACCAGAAAAAAAUCCCACUCCAGCAAAAAGUACAGCAAGUCCAUCAGCCGAAGACCUAUCCCAACUGUAGAGACAGCCAAUUCCUGCAGAUUGGAACCCCAUUCCAGUUAUUUCCAGUUUAAAAGACAAUGCUUUCAAUGUUGUUAGGGACUACGUGCAUAUAUUCCCAUCAUGGGAAGAUUAUAGUGAAGACAAACACCAUUUUCACAUCUUCCUGUCCCACUUACGUGUAAGUGCUAUUAUUCAUGGUGAUUAUUUCCUGUUUUCUGCUGAUUGAACAAAUCAAUGAUUUACAUUACAUUGUUGUAAGUAGGCGAGGGUCAAUCUGGAUAGUCAUGACGAGCAAAGCUUGCUUGCGCUUUUCAAGGAAGCAUUGCAACAAUAUCGGUGUUACAGAAGGAAAUCACACUUUGAUGGCAAGUCUAUAAACGAAUUUCCGGUGAAGUCUCCUGUGCUAAAUUUAGAAGACAUUGAAUGGAAAAACCUUGUUAUGCACUGGUCCCAUUCCCAGGAUGAGGUAUUGUCUAUGAUAUCACAUGACAAUUUGAACUUCUACUUUUCCACAUGUGCCUUACAGAUCUUUUUUGCAGGAAAUCUGCUCCAAGAAGAAUUCCGGUUUGAAAAGAAUGACAGGAUAUCGCAAAUAUGCUGCCCGCUGCUUUGCUCUUGUUAGUACAUGUUGUCCUCUAUCACUGUACUUGCAUUCAUACCUGGUUCAUUAUGUGACAGCAGUACGCAUGAUAGCUUGCUUAUCAAUUAUUCGCUCCAAAUUAUCUGAUCUGUAUGAAUGGUUACAUUAGUCUAGAAUAUAUCCAAUGCCAAUGAAUUUUUUUAGCUCUGCAUUGUUCUUGUAAGUACCUGCUGUCCUUUAUCAGUGUACUUAUAUUGAUAGGUAGUUAUUCAUGUACCAUCACUCUGCAGCUUAUUUUCCUUUGCCCUCCAUUUUCUACACAUCAGAUCUAUAUUUACUCUUACCAUAAGGUUGGAUAACACCGACGGUACUGAAGAAGUUUAGCUCUGCAUUGCUCUUGGUUGUACCCUUUGCCUGUACCAUUGCACUUACAUGUAUAGCUACUUGGUUAUGUAGCAUCACUCUUCAUCUUAUCUUAAAUAUUCUCCAUUUUUUCUUAUAUUAUCACAUCUAUAUUUACUCUUAACAAAAUGUAGAAUAAAGGCAAUGCUUAUGAAGAAGAUUCUGUGGUAAACUUCUUGAAUUGCCCCCCCAUCAGCAUGGAAAAGGGCUUUAUAGAGCCUGUCUUCACCAAUAAUGUAAGUUUGUCCUUCUCAAGCCUUCAAACUUUGUUGUGUAUAUUUGGUUAGGCAUGACUGCAACAGCUCCUUAUUUUUGGUGUUUGCAUCAAAUUGCAUGUUCAAAGUUUAUUAUGUAGUUCAUAAACAAAAGUUUGUCCUUCUCAAUUUAAGUUUUCAGUUGUACAACCAAGUUCCUUCUUCAUACCAUGUAAAUUAAACUAUACAGAGCAAGUGAUCUUCUUUUGCACUACAUGUAUGCUUCUGUUCUUGAUCCGUAAUCCAGUGGUGUGGUGAACCUACCACUACAGCACAAUGUCAUAUUCUGCAAUGUCUUAACUAUGAACUAUGUCAUAUCAUUCUACUAUUAUUUAAACCAUCUCUUUAUUUGCCAAUCUGAAAUGGGAUAAAUUGACAGCACACUAACCAUUGAUACUUAUGAGUUCUUGAUCUGUAAUCCAGUGGUGUCGUGAAGCUGCCAGCUCCUUCACAAUGUCAUUUCCUG